AGGAGGAUGCCCUCCAACAAGUCGUUCACUUCUUCCAGUCCAAAUAUUUCAAGAAAGACUCUGUUAUUACCUUUACUUUUCCGGCGGACACGGCUGCCCCUGCAGAGGUACUAAUCAAAUGAAAUAUAUACUCCUAAAGUUUAUAUAGUUCCUUUCCUUAUAAUAUUAAUUGCACACUCACUAAUGACGAUAUAUUAUAUAUUGCAGAUUGGAUUUUCAAGGGAGGGGAAAGAGGAAGAAUCGAAAAUAAAAGUGGAGAAUGAGAAUGUGGUUGAGAUGUUGAAGAAGUGGUACCUGGGUGGGACUAGGGCCGUCUCUCCUACUACCAUCUCCUCCUUAGCCAACUCUCUCUCCGCUCACUUGCCCAAUUAAUUCAUCAUCAAAUUUGCCUGCCUGCCACCCACUACUUGUGCUCUUAUUUAUGG
RNAcentral lists this long non-coding RNA (425 nucleotides) under Panax ginseng (ginseng). RNAcentral describes it as "long non-coding RNA (PGIN_LNC011873)". The record is from RNAcentral. Lineage: Eukaryota; Viridiplantae; Streptophyta; Magnoliopsida; Apiales; Araliaceae.